RNAcentral lists this long non-coding RNA (2925 nucleotides) under Equus asinus (donkey). RNAcentral describes it as "lncRNA (ENSEASG00005030847.1)". The record is from RNAcentral. Lineage: Eukaryota; Metazoa; Chordata; Mammalia; Perissodactyla; Equidae.
GUGAUGAUUCCCCUUUUCCCUAAAUCAUUAGGCUGAUGGUAUCUUGAAUCAUUAUAUUCAAAUAUGAAAACACACUUUAAUAAAUAAUUGUACUUAGAACAAUAUAACAUCUAUACAUCAUAUAGCAGAGAAUUCAUAGAAACUUUUUUCCUCCCAGUUUGUUUACCAUAGAAAUCAAAUAAAAAUUGAAUUAAGCAUGUAUUUCUUCUUAUGCCACAGUGCUCCCUAGGUGCCACUUAUAAAAUAGGUGACAUAUAGAGAUUCAAUGUCAAUUCUUUAUGUCUACAUGAUGCUGAAAGUGACUUCAGAAUUUAUUUUUACCGUAAUGCUAAAGUCAACCAAUAUAAAAAAGAAAGCUCUCUGUACCUUGUAGUUCACAUACUUUUUCUUUAUGGAUGACUGUUGUUGUUUCUGGAACCCUGGGUCUUUUGGGAAUGCAAGGAUAUUAACAAUUUGGUGAAUGUGACCUUGAUAAUAAGGCCAAGUUGCAUACUUGGGCUCCUUGCCACUUUAGUGAUUUUCCCGGUAUCUGGCAGUAUCAGAGGUUUUCAUUACUGUACCUUCAUGGCUCCAUUAUCCUUUACUGUCACAGGGCAGUUGCAGGAGCACCUUGGAAUCAGAUGGUGCCCUGCAUGUCACAAAGUGAUGGUGUUAGAGGUGGGGGCCUUUGGGAUGUGAUUAGGUCAGCAAGGUGAAGCCCUCAUAAAUAGGAUUAGUGCCUUUAUAAAAGAGACCCCAGAGGACUCCCUUGCCCUUUCUGCCAUGUGGAGACACAGUGAGAAGUUGGCUGCCUAUGAACCAGGGAGUGGGCCCUCAUCAGACACCGAAUCUUCCCGGCACCUUGAUCUUCAACUUCCCAGCCUCCAGAACUAUGUGAAAUAAAUUUCCACUGUUUAUAAGCUAGCUGAUCUGUGGUAUUUUUGUUGCAGCAGCCUGAAUGGACUAAGACAGUGGUCUUAGGCUGACGGAGCUAGGACAAUUUGGAGUCUGCUGAGGUUUGACCUACACCCUCGCUGCAGUGAAUUAGGACCUUCAGUUUGGCAGUAAUGUACAUAUCUGAGGCCUCUUGAGGCCCCCUGUCCCUGAUUACAUGGAUUUUGCAGUGCAUCGGCAUUCUGAUGAUCUCUUUGACCCCGAUGUCAUGCUUAUUGUCUCCUGGGGUUUGGGGAAUCUGAUCAGACUUCGGAGUCCUCCGGUGAAUUUGGCUUUAAGUCCCAUCUCCUAUCUUGUGCCUGCCCACCCACCAUCUUCUAUUGUCGGUGAAAACUUUCCUCAGUCUUUGUGUAUGAGAAGUCGGCUUGGGGAGAGACCUUCUGUCCACCCACGUUGCCUUCUAACCCCACGUUUCUCAGGUUAGCAGUCAGGCGGUCUAACGUUAGGGUUAAAGCCCGAGGCAGACAUGGAGUGGUUUGCGUUUGAUAGAGCAUCAGGCGGCUUUCCAUGGGGCUGUCAGCGGACGGACUUGUGCUACCUGCUGGCGCAGCUGCAGCCCGGAAUCGUAGUGGCCGCUCCGGGGAACUUUGAAAUGAACAGGACUUUCACUGGAGAGGCGCCUUAGAAGAACACACCAACAGAAAAACAGCAGACAAACCCUCGAGAGGAGAGCCUCUGUGUUCUUCGUCUAAAAGAGACCACUUUGUUUAGGUAGACCACUCACCUUUCAUGUCAUUCUUAAGGGCUUUUUCACUGUGUGGCUAACAUUUCAACUUUCUCUUCUCCGUGAAGAGGAAGGCAAUCAGCCUUUUCCAGGGGUACUUUCACGGUAGUAUUAUCAAACUCAGUAACCGAGGAGGCCCAUCAGACAGGGGCUUUAAUGCCUUAGCAGCCUCUGUAGGCAAACCAAAGCCUAGGCCUGUAGCGCCCCGGGGCUGAGAGUUGCGACCGCAAACCCUCGGGCCCCAGCCACCCACCAGGCUUCCCAAAGAAGGCGCCCGCGGAAGCCGCAGCCCGCCGAGUGAUCGCCUUGCUUGGCCUCUGCCUCUUCUCUACAAAGUCUUCCCCUGGCUCCCGCUGGUGGGCUGUUCCUGACCACUUCCCAUUUGCUGCUGCCAGAUUUUAACCCAUUUUUGCUCAAAGUCAAAAUUUUUAAUAUGCCUCAAUUUAUCUUUUAAUGGUAUAAAGCUGGCUCUAGCUCACCUUUUUUCCUAUUUCUCUUUUUCCUCUCACUUGAAAAUUUUUAAAGAUGAAUUCAGAAAAAAAUAAUUUUGUCAUAUGUGCAAUCUAGGACUAUCUGGUGCAAAUGAAUAUCCAAAAUGGCUAAGAGAAAAAAGCCAAUAAACUAUUUGUGCUGCUUUUGCGUAAAAUGUGGAUGAGCGAAUUUAAAUAAUAGCCUUUGCUAUUAUGGUUAUAAGCAGAAAGGUUUUAAGAUAAAAGAGGAGCUUUUAAAUAUGAUUUAAUGAUUAUGAAUAUAAGGUUUAUAAAGUAUUUUUAAAAAAGGUUUAUGAAAUAUUUCCGGUAAGUGGAUGAAUUUGGGCAAACGAAUGAAUAUUUCUUUAAAUCAACUAUAUGUCUUCUCCAGAAAAUGUGCAAUUAGCCCUUGGAUACUUGCAUAAUUUAUAAGUGAAAAAUGGUACAAAGCUUUGGUCACUAAAGAUAGUUUCAAUGUAUCUUUAUUCUUAUACAUUUAUAAAGUGACUGGAUUAAAAGAAUAUGCAAAUGUUUUGGAUGAUACCAUAUAUGUGUAUUUUGCCAUUGUAAAACUUAACAGAGGUACCAUAUAAUGUGUACACAUAAGAAUUUAGCUAGAGACUUCUUGGUUUUUUGUCUUUUAGUUUCCUCUGUGGAGAAAAUAGUUGAUCCCUUUGGUUAAAAGUGAUUAAUAAAAAUAAGAUAUACUUUGUAUAAUAAUUACGGAAAAAUAUGAAAAUAUACACACAUAGAAGAUAAUGAGUAUGAAUUUUUCCUCAAGGAAACUGUUAAAGUGGU